CUCAAAACAGCGUCCUGAACCCCGACUGGAGUGUCUGGCCAACCUCCCGACGGAGUUCUGAGCAGGACCCUGAUUCUGCGACACCAAGAUUUUCCAGGUUAGGAGACACUUCUACAACUCUAACAGCUCUAUCACUCUCAGAAGAGGAGACAGCAUGCACGUGAUGAUCAGUCACUUCCAUCCUUUGGGAAGGGUGCAGAUCUGAGCCAUUGCACCUUUGCAAAGGCACCUUCCACCCAGUCUGCAGCUCCAGAGUAAACACGUAGGUUCAGUUACAUUUGAAGUAAUACAAAACCUGGAGUUUCAUGAGGAAUAAUCAUCAAUACUAGUUAAGAUAAAAGCAGUUUUCUCCCACAGUUUCCGGAUCAGCAACAAGGGUACUGCAUAUUGAGAAAUGAGAGGCUCCUGUGACCCUGAAAGGCUCAGCACUUCACUGGAUUCACAAAGACACUGAAAGGUUUGCCAAGUAGUCAUCUGGAACAGAUGUGCCACAGCUGUGGUUCAAGCACACAACUUUUCAUGGACCACCUGCUUCCUUACCCAGAAGUUCCACAAACUAACUGAUGUCUCAGUCAUUCUGUAUCAUACAUGGUUCCAAGAAUUGCUGAAUUCAGUGCUGAUGGGUAAGAUCACAUGUUCUGUAUUUACUGUUCGCUUAAGUACACUUGAACCUGAAACUUGAGCAACCAGCAAAACUGAAGGUAGAAGCUUCUUACAAUGCUGUAUUAUACAGUGAUAGUAAUUCCUGUCCUAGUCUACUUGGAAAGCUAACCCAGCAUAAAAAUUUCACGAAGCGAAGAAUUUCAGCUUAUUUCUCAAAGGAUGACUUUCUUUUCCCCUAAAGCAGUGCUAAUAAUAUUCCUAAAACUCAAGGAAGGCAGAGGUAAAUUACAAAAGUUAUGAAGUAAUUUCUGAGAAGUACCAAGGAGAGAAGUUACUGAAGCUAUGAUACAAGAAGCUGGCUAUAAUUUCUGCACAUCAAUGUCACUGGUAUUUAACCAAUACAGUUAUAUGGGAUAGAUGCACAAAAAGCUUUGUAUCAAGCUUGGUACAAAAAUACCAAAAAACAAACACAAAAUGCCCCCUCAAAACCCAGAAAAGAUGGUACCGUGAAGCUAAAAUGUCCUAGUCAAUGUACUAAGACAAAUCACACAAGAGAAUGUUCAUUUCAAUGUUUCAAAUUAUAAACCAGAUACCGAAUACCUUUAGAGGCACCUCAGGCUGUAGUUAAGAGUGGAUUCCCCUAUACAGCCCUCUCACUGAGUACUGCAUCUGACCUUAGUGAGCAACAGCCAAAUAUAGCAUGCUGCCCUCACCACGGUCUAUGGUUUAGCAGUGUGGUUUCUUCCUUUCUAAAAAAAAGUUACAUUCCUACCUUUGGUGGUAACUAAUGAGCAUUUAAGAGAAAUUUUAACACUUUGUAGUUGCAGUUAUCUUAAAUAAGAACAGCAUUUCUCUCUUUUUAUACUAUGAUUUAGCUGAGCAGUGAGAAAGACACUGAAUGACUCAAGUAAAACCUGUGCUGCAGAGUAUCUAAAUGAAACAGUUACUGAAUCAUGGAGCCUUCCAGUGGCCGAACAGCCAGACAGAAUGAAGAACCCCAGCACACUGCCUGAUGCUGGGUCUUGGCCUUCAGUGCAGUUUUUCAAGCCAACCAUUCCAUUAGUCAUGCACUUAUAAAGCUAAAGAUGAAGUGGCUGAUAUCUGCACUGCUGUACAAACCCAGAAACAAACUUCGUUCUUCUGUCCCUCCUCUCUGGUUAAUACAAUACCUACUCUCCUAGAAACAUAUCAAAAUUGCUUAUUUUCUUCCUCUUUUUAAAGACUAUUUUUUAAAAAGUCCUUUGCAAGCAACUCCUUUUACAGUUAUUCUUGUUUAUUUUUCUAGUCUCAAAUCAUCCAGUGAUUUCACACCAAGCCAGGUAAUAACUCUUGUUUAUUCAGGAUUCAUAUCCAUGGUUUGUUUAUAUUGUUUUGCAACAGAUCAUCGAGAUCUAUUUUAUUUCUCUACAACUGCCUCUCUUUUUCAACAUCAGUUACAGAGGCUAGAACUGCAAGCACUACUACCAUAUCAUAAUACCACACCAUCAGUCUGGCUGGAUAUAUUUAUUAGCUAAGACAGUAACAAAAUAAGAAAUGUUAUUGACCAUAGCAUAUUUGAUCACUAUGCUCUAUACCAUUUAAAACUAACAUGGAAAAAUCUCAAUUAUUUAAUAAGAAUUUAAAAUCCAAUUUCCAUUUAAAAAGUCAAAUAAUAUUCAAAUUCCUGUUUAUCACAACCUAUAAGACCUCCAAAAUCACAAGAAAAUGAAACUUGCAGCUUUCUUACAAGACAACCCAUGACACAGUAAGAACAGCAUGCAAUUGGCUUUUUAAGGCAAUUAUAAAUAUCACCUUUUUAGCUGAACAUUGAAGCAAUAACCAUUCCUACACCUACUGGUAGUCUUCUUGGAUAAGUAUUUCCCAGUUUCCUUGGUGCGUUGGUACUACCAGAACUAGUAGCCCUCAGCCGCACACAAAAUGAAUUUGUUUAGAAAAGAUCCUCAUUAAGUUCAGUCAGAUUAAUUCAAACUGUUAAUUUUAAUUAGGACAGCUAGAUUUAGGCAAGCAAGGUAUCUUGCCUAGACAAGGCAAAUUUGUUUGUACCACAACAGAAAUUAAGCCCCUUUACAGAAAGCCAUCUUGUACCUCAGGUUACUGUGCCUCGAUUUCCCUAAGUACAUCUUCCCUUCCAUAUGGUAAACUCCCUUGUGUUUUCUAAGUCAGACACCUAUAAAUUUAAAAGAGCAGAGAUGCAUUCCAGCUGGGACGCCUUAUAUCCAGAAAUUAAGGAUACAGCACAGAAACAGAAAGCCCAACUCCCUGACAGAAAUAUGGAACUUAACACCAGUCACAGCACUCUUUACAAGUCAAGGUUACACCUAUUCCAGUAUCUUUGCUUUCAUAUAGGGGCAACCUUCUCCACACAUCACUAAAUUUAAAUCAGUUUAGAAUCUGGCUUAAAUGUAGACUUGGUACACCCAUUUAGCUCAGCAUUGUUGCAAAUUUCAGGGCAUUUCCCAGAGAGGGAUACAUGGUAUUCCUAGAUGAGGCAAAACACAAGUAACAAUUUCAGCUGCAGAGCCCAGGAGAAAAAAACUUCUCUGUUCACAUUGGAAAGUAGGAUUCAAAGAGACACUCAAAUCAUAGCCUUCCAAUACUUAAAGAGGGCUUAUAAGAAAGAUGGGGACAAACUUUUGAAUAGGGCUUGUUGCAAUCAGACAAGGGAAAUGGAUUUAUACUAAAUAAAAUUUUUUUAAAGUAGGCUAAGACUAGAUAUAUGGAUGAAAUUCUUUUACAGUGACAGUGAUGAAACACUGAACAGGUUGCUCAGAGAGGUGGUGGAUGCUUCAUUCCUGGAAACAUUCAACAUCACACUGGACAGGGCUCUGAGCAACUUGAUCCAGUUGAAGCUGUCCCUCCACUGGAGAGGGUUUGUACCAGGUGACCUUUACAAGCUCCUUCCAACCCAAACCAUGUUAUUAUUCUGUAUUUCAUAACUGAUAUGCUCAUGGCAGUAUCAUGUGUGCAUACUCCUGUGCUGUCCACAGCUAGAACGGACUGGGAAAAAAAAAUUGAUCCACCAGAUGGCAUAGCUGGGAUAGUAGGAAGGGGAAAAAGCAUGUAGACACACUGUAGCACACACAGUAGACACACUGAAGCAAAAAUAAGAGCACCAUUUUUGUGUACCAUAACAUAGCUAAGCCUGAUCUGUGAUUCUGCAUACCAGCACAAGAAGGAAACACUCUUUCAAUCAAUUUGGCUUAUUCACUUUCAUGGUCACGUAUCACUCUAAGGGUCUUUCCGCAAAGUUACGGAAUUCCAUAUUUAAAUGACCUGCAAAUCUUUGCAGAUUCACUCAUGAUAGACAGUAAAAUUCAAAGUAUCUCCAAGAUAGUGAGGCACACAUGUCAGAACACCAGCACUUCCCUCAUUCUUCUAGUAAAGCAACAGGAAUGACAAUUUAAAUCUGGCAGAUGGUACCUGGUAGACAGAGAUAAAAUAAAACAUUGCUAUGUUCAGACUUCAUGUAUACACUUGGUUUUUUACCUUGCUACCAUUUCCAAACAGUAGUUAUUUAUAAGGUAUCACUAACUAAUGGCCAUGUACUAGACAGACUACAAGAGAACGUCAAUUCAAAAUGAGAUCUUACUAUUCCUAAAUUCAUCACUUAACCAAUGAAUAGAGGAGAAGAAAUUGGUAUAUGCAAAAGAACAUGGAAAUUAAAAGCUAAAGAAUAUGGAAAUUAAAAGCUGCAGUCCUAGAAGACUAUUAACAUUCAUUAUACCCAUUACAUCACCACUUCAGGUGAGUCUAUGAAAACUCUCUCUAAAUUCAACUCAAGAGUUAAUCGAUCUGGCUUCCAGCACUCAAAAGACCCACAAAGUAAGAAUACAUUCAAGAUAAGCAUGUGGGCACACUCCUUGAGGAAUGGGAAGACGUUCCUGAAUUCUCCCAAGCAGCCCAGCUGUAGGCCACUUCAUACUGAUAUCUCAAAAAGAAACCAAAAUCACAAUUAAACCCAAAGAAAGUAAGACACUCCAAGUAGGUAAUUCCAAUCAAAAGGCAAGUUAAUGUGUCAUAUAACCCAGAAGGACAAAAACAGUUAGAGUAACCUAAUUAAAGUAGGAGCAAGAACUCCUGACAGUUAAUAUCACAGCCUAGAAACAGGUGUCACCACCCAGCAACCCAGUGGCAGCAGUGAAGUUUCCUACUGCUGUGGCUUUUGAUAUGUAUUUGCUAGUCUUGAAAAAUUACAUGUAGCAGCCACUGAGAGACAAUUGUAGACUGUUAUUCAAACUUAAAGCCAUCCAUUUCACUUAAAGCAACCAAAAGGACUAAAUAUAUACUGCAUGACAAUUUAACAAAAAUGUCUUUUUAUUAUUUCACUGUAUUUACACUUAUACCACAAAAGCCAUGUUUCCUUAUCCUUUUAAGUCAAAGUUGAAGUGUGAGUAAUGGAGCCAAACAACUUGCUUUGAACAAUGUAGCUGGCGAUAAGAGUCAACAGAAAUUUUUCUGCGCAACCAGUGUGGGGAGGGAUUCAUACUCACUUUACCAGAACAGGUCAGCUAAGCAACAGCAUGAGCUCCAGAAUGUGAGCUGCCAAUUGUACAAACAAAAAAAACCAACCUUCAUUGUGGAACACUGCUGUUUGAACAACAGGUUAAAAUGCUAUAUGCUAGCAGUGCAACAAAUAAAAGAUGUUAAAAAGACAGCAAAAAUAAUUGACACGAUGCAUCCCUUUAAUUGCUGCCAUUUUUUUCAAACAAAACCUGUAAGAAUUAUCUAUUACGUUUCAGAUACAAGACGUUGCACAAGGUACUCCUCUAAUGUUAGCAGAUGACAAGCAGAAAGAAAGCACCUCAUUC
Molecule: long non-coding RNA, 5411 nt
Organism: Vidua chalybeata
Lineage: Eukaryota; Metazoa; Chordata; Aves; Passeriformes; Viduidae
Exons: 3
Source: RefSeq, a predicted model, not a curated record